Molecule: transfer RNA, 72 nt
Filed under: Mycoplasma crocodyli MP145
Lineage: Bacteria; Bacillati; Mycoplasmatota; Mollicutes; Mycoplasmatales; Mycoplasmataceae
Rfam family: tRNA
About the family: Transfer RNA (tRNA) molecules are approximately 80 nucleotides in length. Their secondary structure includes four short double-helical elements and three loops (D, anti-codon, and T loops).
Source: Rfam by way of RNAcentral
GGGAGUUUAGCAUAUUGGCUAUGCACCAGUCUCCAAAACUGUUUUAAAUGGGUUCGAUUCCUAUAACUCCCG